GAUGAACGCUGGCGGCGUGCCUAAUACAUGCAAGUCGAGCGAACAGAUGCGGAGCUUGCUCCUCUGUCGUUUGCGGCGGACGUGUGAGUAACACGUGGAUAACCUACCUAUCAGACUGGGAUAACUUCGGGAAAGCGGCGCUAAUACCGGAUAAUCUAUUUACCCGCAUGGUUCGAUAGUGAAAGACGGUUUUGCUGUUGCUCCUACGUCGAUCCGCGCCGUUUUAGGUAGUAGGUCAGGCAACGGCUUACCCAGGCAACGAUGCGUAGCCGACCGGCGAGGGUGGUAGGCCGCACUGGAGCUGGGACGCGGACCAGAGUCCUAAGGGAGGGAGCAGUAGGGAAUCGGCCGCAACGGGCGAAAGCCUGACGGAGCAACGCCGCGUGAGUGAUGAAGGUGCUCGGAUCGUAAAACUCUGCUAUGAGUGGAGAACAACUGUGUAAGUAACUGAGCCGGUCUUGACGGUACCUAAAGAAGAAGCCACGGCUAACUACGUG
This 497-nucleotide ribosomal RNA is filed under the name uncultured bacterium. Its description in RNAcentral is "partial 16S ribosomal RNA". It matches the Rfam family "Bacterial small subunit ribosomal RNA", at positions 28 to 507 of the family's 1533-position model. The record is from RNAcentral.